ACGGCUCAGUAACACGUCGGUAACCUACCCUGUGGUCAGGGAUAACCUCGGGAAACUGAGGGUAAAACCUGAUAGAUGACGGUGCCUGGAAUGGCCCAUCGUCCAAACUCGUGCCAUAGGAUGGGCCGGCGGCUGAUUAGGCUGUUGGUGGGGUAAUGGCCCACCAAACCAAAGAUCAGUACGGGCCAUGAGAGUGGUAGCCCGGAGAGGGACACUGAGAUACUGGUCCCAGCCCUACGGGGUGCAGCAGGCGCGGAAACUCUCCAAUGCGCGAAAGCGUGAGAGGGGGAUACAUAGUGCUUACGCUUUUGGUGUAGGCUUUAUCGAGUGUAGAUAGCUCGGUGAAUAAGUGGUGGGUAAGACUGGUGCCAGCCGCCGCGGUAACACCAGCGCCACAAGUGGUCAUCGCGUUUAUUGGGCCUAAAGCGUUCGUAGCCCGCUUGGUAAAUCUCUUGUGAAAUUGUUCGGCUUAACCGAACAGCGUGCAGGGGACACUGCCAGGCUCGAGACCGGGAGGGGUCAGAGGUAUUCUAUGGGGACCGGUAAAAUGGGAUAAUCCAUAGAGGACCACCGAUGGCGAAGGCAUCUGACCAGAACGGAUCUGACGGUGAGGAACGAAAGCUAGGGGAGCGAACCGGAUUAGAUACCCGAGUAGUCCUAGCCGUAAACGCUGUGAGCUAGGUGUCGCGCAUCUCAUGUAGAUGCGCGGUGUCGAAACGAAGGUGAUAAGCUCACCGCCUGGGAAGUACGGUCGCAAGACUGAAACUUUAAGGAAUUGGCGGGGGAGCAC
RNAcentral lists this ribosomal RNA (790 nucleotides) under uncultured archaeon. RNAcentral's name for it is "bacterial SSU rRNA". It matches the Rfam family "Archaeal small subunit ribosomal RNA", at positions 85 to 879 of the family's 1478-position model. The record is from RNAcentral.